Hippocampus comes (tiger tail seahorse) is the source of this 754-nucleotide long non-coding RNA. RefSeq lists it as uncharacterized. NCBI's taxonomy places the organism in Eukaryota, Metazoa, Chordata, Actinopteri, Syngnathiformes, Syngnathidae. The record is from RefSeq and is a predicted model, not a curated record. The transcript has 2 exons.
CACACUUUUUAACUGACUGGCACAAGAACAAAAAACGUGCACUUGCUAAAAUUGUUAUUUUUGUCUGUGUAGAUUUUCAGUCACCAGGUCACAACUCUUGUUUUGUUGAGGUUUUUUUUUCACAUGCGACUUCAGCAACUAUGCUAUUAUCGUGACAAGAUAAAACCCUCUGGAUAUACUCGGGGAGGUGGGGGUGGGGGGGGAGAGAAUUGGAUUCUGGCUGUGGCUGAAGAAUCCAGAUAAAGCCAUCACUCACCGUGUGUCGGACUGGUUUGGUUGCCUGCGAGGGAGCAAAGAGAAACUCACAUGAAACUCAAGUCUUGUGGCUUGUGUGUUUACCAGACUCGAACACAUGCUCACAUGUCUCAAGAAUAAUAACAAGAUGAUGAUGAUGUGAAUACAGGUUUGGCCUCCAUUAGGGAAACAAAGUACAGUAUUGUCCAGAUAACACAUGACACAUUCCACAAAAGGUCCAUAUUAGCCAGGCAGCUUUUUGUUUUUGUUUUUAGUGAAAAAAAAAAUAGAGUACAAGUUUGCAAUCAUCUGUAUUUUACAAUAAAAUCAUUGGAUUAGACACAAUAGUAUAUUUACACUGUUCAUGUCAUUUAUAUUUUGGCCUGCUUCGCUUUGACCGAAUGAGAUCUGAAAACCAGCUAAAACGGGCACCUGUGCUAGAAAGAGGGAUGUCUAGCGUCGUGGCUAUAUCGUUAGCAACUUAGCAUGCUAAAUCUGUACAACUAAUCAGUUGUGUAAU